This 299-nucleotide long non-coding RNA is filed under the name Bos taurus (domestic cattle). RNAcentral's name for it is "long non-coding RNA NONBTAT023641". Lineage: Eukaryota; Metazoa; Chordata; Mammalia; Artiodactyla; Bovidae. The record is from RNAcentral.
GAAAGGCAAAGUUUAAUUUGCAUACAGGAGUAACCCACACCUCACCUGGCAAGUGUUAGGCCACAGCACAAACCCCUGUCGGAGUCAGAGAUGUCAGCAGAUGUGCAAAGUAACUGGACACAAACAAUAUAGUUCUCCAAGUAAUACAUGGGUUUGUCCAUCACACACACAAAUAACAAACACACUUAAAUGCUCUGCAAAAGAGAGAUGAGGAUGGUAAUCAAAUUAUGUAUUUAUACCUACAAGAUGGUUGUUUUCUACUUUAGUUCCUCCCUGCCUUAAUUUUAAGUCACUAACAG